AGGAUGAAGGCUUUCUGAGUCGUAAACUCCUUUCAGCAGGGACGAUUGUGACGGUACCUGCAGAAGAAGCACCGGCCAACUACGUGC
RNAcentral lists this ribosomal RNA (87 nucleotides) under uncultured bacterium. RNAcentral's name for it is "partial 16S ribosomal RNA". The record is from RNAcentral.